UGGGUUGUAGCUCAGUGGUAGAGCGCCAGUCUUGAAUAUGUGAUGCACUGGGUUUAAUCCUCAGCACCACAU
Molecule: transfer RNA, 72 nt
Filed under: Ictidomys tridecemlineatus (thirteen-lined ground squirrel)
Lineage: Eukaryota; Metazoa; Chordata; Mammalia; Rodentia; Sciuridae
Description: Spermophilus tridecemlineatus (thirteen-lined ground squirrel) tRNA
Rfam family: tRNA
About the family: Transfer RNA (tRNA) molecules are approximately 80 nucleotides in length. Their secondary structure includes four short double-helical elements and three loops (D, anti-codon, and T loops).
Source: Rfam by way of RNAcentral